UACGAAGGGGGCUAGCGUUGCUCGGAAUUACUGGGCGUAAAGCGCACGUAGGCGGCUUUCUAAGUCGGGGGUGAAAUCCUGGAGCUCAACUCCAGAACUGCCUUCGAUACUGGAGAGCUUGAGUCCGGGAGAGGUGAGUGGAACUGCGAGUGUAGAGGUGAAAUUCGUAGAUAUUCGCAAGAACACCAGUGGUGAAGGCGGCUCACUGGCCCGGUACUGACGCUGAGGUGCGAAAGCGUAGGGAGCAAACAGG
RNAcentral lists this ribosomal RNA (253 nucleotides) under uncultured bacterium. Its description in RNAcentral is "partial 16S ribosomal RNA". It matches the Rfam family "Bacterial small subunit ribosomal RNA", at positions 524 to 776 of the family's 1533-position model. The record is from RNAcentral.